RNAcentral lists this ribosomal RNA (252 nucleotides) under uncultured bacterium. RNAcentral's name for it is "partial 16S ribosomal RNA". It matches the Rfam family "Bacterial small subunit ribosomal RNA", at positions 524 to 776 of the family's 1533-position model. The record is from RNAcentral.
UACGAAGGGUGCAAGCGUUACUCGGAAUUACUGGGCGUAAAGCGUGCGUAGGUGGUUUUUAAGUCCGUUGUGAAAGCCCUGGGCUCAACCUGGGAAUGGCAGUGGAUACUGGAAAGCUAGAGUGCGGUAGAGGGUAGUGGAAUUCCCGGUGUAGCAGUGAAAUGCGUAGAGAGUCGGAGGAACACCAGUGGCGAAGGCGGCUACCUGGACCAGCACUGACACUGAGGCACGAAAGCGUGGGGAGCAAACAGG